GAAAAAGCCAGGAAGGUGUUUUUAGGAAAUUAUUUUCUUCCAGAGAGAGGAAGUCAUCGGCUGUAAGCUUCCUUAAGUUCAGAUAGUUUCUGAGUUUCGCACCGGAGCCGCGUUUCUGAAAGAUUCAGUAGGAAGCGACGUGAUGCUGCGCGUUAAGCGGCGAGAGAGCCUGUAUACACAGGAAUCAGGGUGGUACCGCGGAUAUGCUUCGUCCCUUUA
This 219-nucleotide non-coding RNA is filed under the name Ruminococcus sp. RNAcentral describes it as "T-box sequence". It matches the Rfam family "T-box leader". Rfam says of the family: Uncharged tRNA acts as the effector for transcription antitermination of genes in the T-box leader family. T-boxes are found upstream of many aminoacyl-tRNA synthetase genes and some amino acid biosynthetic genes usually in Gram-positive bacteria. The record is from RNAcentral. Lineage: Bacteria; Bacillati; Bacillota; Clostridia; Eubacteriales; Oscillospiraceae.